This 465-nucleotide ribosomal RNA is filed under the name uncultured bacterium. Its description in RNAcentral is "partial 16S ribosomal RNA". It matches the Rfam family "Bacterial small subunit ribosomal RNA", at positions 338 to 795 of the family's 1533-position model. The record is from RNAcentral.
CCUACGGGCGGCAGCAGUAGGGAAUCUUCCACAAUGGGCGAAAGCCUGAUGCAGCAACGCCGCGUGGGUGAAGAAGGUCUUCGGAUCGUAAAACCCUGUUGUUAGAGAAGAAAGUGCGUGAGAGUAACUGUUCACGUUUCGACGGUAUCUACCCAGAAAGCCACGGCUAACUACGUGCCAGCAGCCGCGGGAAUACGUAGGUGGCAUGCGUUAUCCGGAUUUAUUGGGCGUAAAGGGAACGCAGGCGGUCUUUUAAGUCUGAUGUGAAAGCCUUCGGCUUAACCGGAGUGGUGCAUUGGAAACUGGGGGACUUGAGUGCAGAAGAGGAGGGUGGAACUCCAUGUGUAGCGGUGAAAUGCGUAGAUAUAUGGAAGAACACCAGUGGCGAAGGCGGCUCUCUGGUCUGUAACUGACGCUGAGGUUCGAAAGCGUGGGUAGCAAACAGGAUUAGAUACCCGUGUAGUC